GACUAACGCUGGCGGCGUGCCUAAUACAUGCAAGUCGAACGGGAAGAUUACUUAGCUUGCUAAGCAAUCUUCUAGUGGCGGACGGGUGAGUAACACGUGGGAAUCUGCCUUUUACUGGGGGAUAACAGUGGGAAACCACUGCUAAUACCGCAUAAGAUCUAGAGAAACUCUUUAGAUGAAAGGUGCAAUUGCACCGGCAAAAGAUGAGCCCGCGUCCCAUUAGCUAGUUGGUGAGGUAAAAGCCCACCAAGGCGACGAUGGGUAACCGGCCUGAGAGGGUGACCGGUCACACUGGGACUGAGAUACGGCCCAGACUCCUACGGGAGGCAGCAGUAGGGAAUCUUCCGCAAUGGGCGCAAGCCUGACGGAGCGACGCCGCGUGAGCGAAGAAGGCCUUCGGGUCGUAAAGCUCUGUUCUUGAGGAAGAAUAAGCUGGAGAGUGGAAAGCUCUGGCGAUGACUUACUCAAGGAGAAAGCUCCGGCUAACUACGUG
RNAcentral lists this ribosomal RNA (493 nucleotides) under uncultured organism. RNAcentral's name for it is "bacterial SSU rRNA". It matches the Rfam family "Bacterial small subunit ribosomal RNA", at positions 28 to 507 of the family's 1533-position model. The record is from RNAcentral.